GAUGAACGCUAGCGGCAGGCUUAAUACAUGCAAGUCGUGGGGCAGCAUGAGUAGCAAUACUUGAUGGCGACCGGCAAACGGGUGCGGAACACGUACACAACCUUCCUUCAAGCGGGGAAUAGCCCAGAGAAAUUUGGAUUAAUACCCCAUAGAAUAUAAAAAUGGCAUCAUUUAUAUAUUAAAGCUUCGGCACUUGAUGAUGGGUGUGCGGCUGAUUAGAUAGUUGGCGAGGUAACGGCUCACCAAGUCUACGAUCAGUAGCUGAUGUGAGAGCAUGAUCAGCCACACGGGCACUGAGACACGGGCCCGACUCCUACGGGAGCAGCAGUAAGGAAUAUUGGACAAUGGACGAAAGUCUGAUCCAGCCAUGCCGCGUGAAGGAUUAA
This 386-nucleotide ribosomal RNA is filed under the name uncultured bacterium. Its description in RNAcentral is "bacterial SSU rRNA". It matches the Rfam family "Bacterial small subunit ribosomal RNA", at positions 28 to 412 of the family's 1533-position model. The record is from RNAcentral.